Long non-coding RNA from Cynara cardunculus var. scolymus (artichoke), 183 nucleotides. RefSeq lists it as uncharacterized. The record is from RefSeq and is a predicted model, not a curated record. Lineage: Eukaryota; Viridiplantae; Streptophyta; Magnoliopsida; Asterales; Asteraceae. The transcript has 3 exons.
UUUGACCAUAUCUCCAUCCUGCUAUGUCGGAAUCUCCUCUUCCUUCCCUGUCGGAGCACCCUCAUCGGACGGCAUUUCACUUCCAGCCUUCACAAAACUGGAUGAACGAUCCUAAUGGACCAAAGUACUUCAAUGGAGUAUACCAUCUCUUCUAUCAAUACAAUCCAGCUGGUCCACUCUUUA